This 292-nucleotide ribosomal RNA is filed under the name uncultured bacterium. RNAcentral's name for it is "partial 16S ribosomal RNA". The record is from RNAcentral. RNAcentral also lists the same sequence under 1 other name.
GGACUACCCGGGUAUCUAAUCCUGUUUGAUCCCCACGCUUUCGUGCCUCAGCGUCAAUGACUGCGCAGUGAGCUGCCUUCGCAAUUGGUGUUCUAUGUCAUAUCUAAGCAUUUCACCGCUACAUGACAUAUUCCGCUCACCUCCACAGUAUUCAAGACAAAUAGUAUCCAUGGCAGUUUCCGAGUUAAGCUCGGAGAUUUCACCACGGACUUACCUGCCCGCCUACGCACCCUUUAAACCCAGUGAAUCCGGAUAACGCUUGCACCCUCCGUAUUACCGCGGCUGCUGGCAC